This 792-nucleotide ribosomal RNA is filed under the name uncultured bacterium. RNAcentral describes it as "bacterial SSU rRNA". It matches the Rfam family "Bacterial small subunit ribosomal RNA", at positions 61 to 858 of the family's 1533-position model. The record is from RNAcentral.
GUCGAGGGGUAUGGGCUUUCGGGCCCGAGACCGGCGCACGGGUGCGUAACGCGUAUGCAAUCUACCUUUUACAGCGGGAUAGCCCAGAGAAAUUUGGAUUAAUACCACAUAGUAUUAUGAAAUGGCAUCAUUUUAUAAUUAAAGUCACAACGGUAAAAGAUGAGCAUGCGUCCCAUUAGCUAGUUGGUAAGGUAACGGCUUACCAAGGCGACGAUGGGUAGGGGUCCUGAGAGGGAGAUCCCCCACACUGGUACUGAGACACGGACCAGACUCCUACGGGAGGCAGCAGUGAGGAAUAUUGGACAAUGGGCGCAAGCCUGAUCCAGCCAUGCCGCGUGCAGGAUGACGGUCCUAUGGAUUGUAAACUGCUUUUAUACAGGAAGAAACCCUUGCUCGUGAGCAAGAUUGACGGUACUGUAAGAAUAAGGAUCGGCUAACUCCGUGCCAGCAGCCGCGGUAAUACGGAGGAUCCAAGCGUUAUCCGGAAUCAUUGGGUUUAAAGGGUCCGUAGGCGGUUUAGUAAGUCAGUGGUGAAAUCCCAUCGCUCAACGGUGGAACGGCCAUUGAUACUGCUAGACUUGAAUUAUUAGGAAGUAACUAGAAUAUGUAGUGUAGCGGUGAAAUGCUUAGAUAUUACAUGGAAUACCAAUUGCGAAGGCAGGUUACUACUAAUGGAUUGACGCUGAUGGACGAAAGCGUGGGUAGCGAACAGGAUUAGAUACCCUGGUAGUCCACGCCGUAAACGAUGGAUACUAGCUGUUCGGGAGCAAUCCUGAGUGGCUAAGCGAAAGU